UACGUAGGGUGCGAGCGUUAAUCGGAAUUACUGGGCGUAAAGCGUGCGCAGGCGGUUAUUUAAGUCAGGGGUGAAAGCCCUGGGCUUAACCUAGGAAUUGCGCUUGAGACUGGAUAGCUUGGAGUGCGGCAGAGGGAGGUGGAAUUCCACGUGUAGCAGUGAAAUGCGUAGAGAUGUGGAGGAACACCGAUGGCGAAGGCAGCCUCCUGGGCCGAUACUGACGCUGAGGAGCGAAAGCGUGGGGAGCAAACAGG
Molecule: ribosomal RNA, 254 nt
Filed under: uncultured bacterium
Lineage: Bacteria
Description: partial 16S ribosomal RNA
Rfam family: Bacterial small subunit ribosomal RNA
Source: RNAcentral